CUUGGUCAUUUAGAGGAAGUAAAAGUCGUAACAAGGUUUCCGUAGGUGAACCUGCGGAAGGAUCAUUACAGAGAACAUGCCCUUUAGGGGGUAUAUCUCCCACCCUUUGUUUACAAUACCUUUGUUGCUUUGGUGGGCCCGUCUUUUAGACCACCGGCCUUGGCUGGUCUGUGCCCACCAGAGGACCAAACAAUUCCUUUUAUUAUGUUGUCUGAGUCUAAAUAAUUUUUAUAAAACUUUCAACAACGGAUCUCUUGGUUCUGGCAUCGAUGAAGAACGCAGCGAAAUGCGAUAAGUAAUGUGAAUUGCAGAAUUCAGUGAAUCAUCGAAUCUUUGAACGCACAUUGCGCCCCUUGGUAUUCCGAGGGGCAUGCCUGUUCGAGCGUCAUUAUGACCACUCAAGCCUAGCUUGGUAUUGGGGUUCGCGGUCCCGCGGCCCUUAAAAUCAGUGGCGGUGCCAUCUGGCUCUAAGCGUAGUAAUUUAUCUCGCUAUUGGGUCCGGUGGUUGCUUGCCAACAACCCCUAACUUUUAAGGUUGACCUCGGAUCAGGUAGGGAUACCCGCUGAACUUAAGCAUAUCAAUAAGCGGAGGAA
This 594-nucleotide small RNA is filed under the name uncultured Helotiales. RNAcentral's name for it is "eukaryotic LSU rRNA". The stretch from base 235 to 388 matches the Rfam family "5.8S ribosomal RNA". Lineage: Eukaryota; Fungi; Ascomycota; Leotiomycetes; Helotiales. The record is from RNAcentral.